Molecule: long non-coding RNA, 810 nt
Organism: Melospiza melodia melodia
Lineage: Eukaryota; Metazoa; Chordata; Aves; Passeriformes; Passerellidae
Exons: 6
Source: RefSeq, a predicted model, not a curated record
GACUGGACACCCAAAGACCUGAAAUGCUAGAAUGGAUUCAGGACUGCCCACCUGACGGUGAGAAUUUUGGCUGAGGAGACCAGACAGUACCACAGCAGCCCAGGAUGUGAUAGAUCAUCCUGUCCCCAGACUGAGCCUGCACAGGCUCCCAUCAGCUCUGGGACAACUGCCAGGAAUAUCUCUUUCCAGAAUAUACUUGUGACUCUUACUAUUGCACUGUCUGCUUACCAGCUCAGUAGAGAGAGUACAGGAGUCUGCUGAGUUAGGAGCCUCAGAGCCCUGGGAUUGCAGCAAUAUCUCUGAAUUUUGUGGAUUUUGUAAAGGUCAAGAAGAGCCACACAUAUGCCAAGUGUUUGGAUGCAGCAGAGUUAGUAACAAUUGGUGGACACAGGCCAUGGACAACAGUUUGUGCUGGUGCCCAUUCUCACCUUCAUCACGUGAAGGCACAUCUGUGGAGCUCUGCACACACAGAUCAUCCUUCUUUUCUCCUCCCAGAUUCAAAUCUCUUCUACUGUGCCUUGUUUGUGAGACCCUAGCUGACUCCCCCCCAUCAGCAUGAGUUGGCCAUUUCCAUCACUUCUAUUUAAAGGAACGGAUCUAAUAUGCAGUUUCUGAGUUUGAAAUCUGUCCCAGAAAAUAGUGGAAAUUUACAUAUUUAUUUUUGCAGGUGACAUUUGUAAUCUAUUGAAAUGUCUGAGUCAAGCUGAAAAUGCAGAUCUGUAACUUUGCAUGCCCCAGGGGAAAUAUUAACCAAUCUGAUGCAAUGCUAAUAAAUCAUGAUUGUUAUUAUUAUGCUUUGGAUGUGUUGUA